UGCCCUUGGACGCUCCUGGAGCUUUGUGC
This 29-nucleotide non-coding RNA is filed under the name Mus musculus (house mouse). The record is from RNAcentral. Lineage: Eukaryota; Metazoa; Chordata; Mammalia; Rodentia; Muridae.